UCACCAUAGGACUCAUAAUAACUGAGAAUCAGAUAAGAUUUCAGAAAAAUGAAACAGUCAGAACUACAAAGCCAAGCCUCCAACCAAACAUUCAGGAGAAAUAACAGAAUCCAUUACAGUUGUCUAAAACCAUUAAAAGUCUUUUGAGGACACUCUUAAGCAAUCACCAAUAUUUGUUUCCCCACUCUUCACUGGUCAUCAUCCUCCACAGGGCUACGGUCUUCUCUGGGACUAUGGCUUCGGUCUUGCUCAUUGGUUCCAAUACCUCCACCAUCGUUUCCUCUCGGGCUCAAUUCAUUCUCCUUGGGGCUGUUCUUCUCACGCAUUGGACUGCCUUCUUCAGGAGUCAAACUUCGCUUCCUAUCUUUUGAUGGAGGAGAGUUGUCCACCAUUAGUUCAGGGCUUCUGCUCCUUGCAGCUUCAGGGCUUCUGCUUCUAGCAGCUUCAGGGCUUCUGCUCCUUGCAGCUUCAGGGCUACGAUCCGUUUCCUUCCUAACCGGAGAUCUGGAGCGACUGAGAAAA
Molecule: long non-coding RNA, 522 nt
Filed under: Brassica napus (rape)
Lineage: Eukaryota; Viridiplantae; Streptophyta; Magnoliopsida; Brassicales; Brassicaceae
Description: long non-coding RNA (BNAP_LNC004704)
Source: RNAcentral